CGUGCAGGUGGUUUUGUAAGUGGUGCGUGAAAGCGCUCGGCUCAACCGGGCGAGUGCGUGCCAAACUGCGGAACUAGAAACAGGCAGAGGAAAGUGGAAUUCGGGGUGUAGUGGUGAAAUGCGUAGAGAUCCCGAGGAACUCCUGUGGCGAAGGCGACUUUCUGGGCCUGCUUUGACACUCAGACGCGAAAGCAUGGGGAGCGAACG
RNAcentral lists this ribosomal RNA (207 nucleotides) under uncultured bacterium. RNAcentral describes it as "partial 16S ribosomal RNA". It matches the Rfam family "Bacterial small subunit ribosomal RNA", at positions 568 to 774 of the family's 1533-position model. The record is from RNAcentral.